GCAGAUGCAGCUCACUAGAGAGCACUUGCCUAAAGUACAUGAAGUCCUGGGUUCAAUUCCCAGAACUGCA
This 70-nucleotide transfer RNA is filed under the name Ictidomys tridecemlineatus (thirteen-lined ground squirrel). Its description in RNAcentral is "Spermophilus tridecemlineatus (thirteen-lined ground squirrel) tRNA". It matches the Rfam family "tRNA". Rfam says of the family: Transfer RNA (tRNA) molecules are approximately 80 nucleotides in length. Their secondary structure includes four short double-helical elements and three loops (D, anti-codon, and T loops). Further hydrogen bonds mediate the characteristic L-shaped molecular structure. tRNAs have two regions of fundamental functional importance: the anti-codon, which is responsible for specific mRNA codon recognition, and the 3' end, to which the tRNAs corresponding amino acid is attached (by aminoacyl-tRNA synthetases). tRNAs cope with the degeneracy of the genetic code in two manners: having more than one tRNA (with a specific anti-codon) for a particular amino acid; and 'wobble' base-pairing, i.e. permitting non-standard base-pairing at the 3rd anti-codon position. The record is from Rfam by way of RNAcentral. Lineage: Eukaryota; Metazoa; Chordata; Mammalia; Rodentia; Sciuridae.